RNAcentral lists this ribosomal RNA (282 nucleotides) under uncultured Deinococcus sp. RNAcentral describes it as "partial 16S ribosomal RNA". It matches the Rfam family "Bacterial small subunit ribosomal RNA", at positions 1 to 301 of the family's 1533-position model. The record is from RNAcentral. Lineage: Bacteria; Thermotogati; Deinococcota; Deinococci; Deinococcales; Deinococcaceae.
UAGUGAGUUUGAUCCUGGCUCAGGGUGAACGCUGGCGGCGUGCUUAAGACAUGCAAGUCGAACGGCAGUCUUCGGACUGUAGUGGCGCACGGGUGAGUAACGCGUAACUGACCUACCCCAAAGUCGCGGAUAACGGUUCGAAAGAAUCGCUAAUACGUGAUGUGCUGUCAGAUCUUGUUCUGCCAGUAAAGAUUUAUUGCUUUGGGAUGGGGUUGCGUUCCAUCAGCUAGUUGGUAGGUAAAGGCCUACCAAGGCGACGACGGAUAGCCGGCCUGAGAGGGU